This 139-nucleotide ribosomal RNA is filed under the name uncultured Fusarium. RNAcentral describes it as "partial 26S ribosomal RNA". It matches the Rfam family "Eukaryotic large subunit ribosomal RNA", at positions 15 to 156 of the family's 3401-position model. The record is from RNAcentral. Lineage: Eukaryota; Fungi; Ascomycota; Sordariomycetes; Hypocreales; Nectriaceae.
GUAGGAAUACCCGCUGAACUUAAGCAUAUCAAUAAGCGGAGGAAAAGAAACCAACAGGGAUUGCCCUAGUAACGGCGAGUGAAGCGGCAACAGCUCAAAUUUGAAAUCUGGCUCUCGGGCCCGAGUUGUAAUUUGUAGA